RNAcentral lists this ribosomal RNA (468 nucleotides) under uncultured bacterium. RNAcentral's name for it is "partial 16S ribosomal RNA". It matches the Rfam family "Bacterial small subunit ribosomal RNA", at positions 28 to 507 of the family's 1533-position model. The record is from RNAcentral.
GACGAACGCUGGCGGCGUGCUUAACACAUGCAAGUCGAACGGAAAGGCCCUGCUUUUGUGGGGUGCUCGAGUGGCGAACGGGUGAGUAACACGUGGGUAACCUGCCCUUGACUUUGGGAUAACUUCAGGAAACUGGGGCUAAUACCGGAUAGGAGCUCCUGCUGCAUGGUGGGGGUUGGAAAGUUUCGGCGGUUGGGGAUGGACUCGCGGCUUAUCAGCUUGUUGGUGGGGUAGUGGCUUACCAAGGCUUUGACGGGUAGCCGGCCUGAGAGGGUGACCGGCCACAUUGGGACUGAGAUACGGCCCAGACUGCUACGGGAGGCAGCAGUGGGGAAUAUUGCACAAUGGGCGGAAGCCUGAUGCAGCAACGCCGCGUGCGGGAUGACGGCCUUCGGGUUGUAAACCGCUUUCGCCUGUGACGAAGCGUGAGUGACGGUAAUGGGUAAAGAAGCACCGGCUAACUACGUG